Molecule: ribosomal RNA, 945 nt
Filed under: Exophiala spinifera
Lineage: Eukaryota; Fungi; Ascomycota; Eurotiomycetes; Chaetothyriales; Herpotrichiellaceae
Description: eukaryotic LSU rRNA
Rfam family: Eukaryotic large subunit ribosomal RNA (bases 697-945)
Source: RNAcentral
CACACCGCCCGUCGCUACUACCGAUCGAAUGGCUAAGUGAGGACUCGGGACUGGCUCAGAGAGGUCGGCAACGACCACUCAGAGCCGGAAACUUGUUCAAACUUGGUCAUUUAGAGGAAGUAAAAGUCGUAACAAGGUCUUCGUAGGUGAACCUGCGGAGGGAUCAUUACCGAGUUAGGGUCCUCACAGGCCCGACCUCCCAACCCAUUGUUUAUGAUACUCAGUGUUGCUUCGGCAGGCCUGGUCUUUGACCUGCCGGAGGGCCGUAACACGCCCCCCGGAGAGCGCCUGCCGACGGCCCCAACUUCAAAAUUCUUAACUAAACAUGUCUUUGUCUAAGUACAGUCUUUAAUAAAAGCAAAACUUUCAACAACGGAUCUCUUGGUUCUGGCAUCGAUGAAGAACGCAGCGAAAUGCGAUAAGUAAUGCGAAUUGCAGAAUUCUCGUGAGUCAUCGAAUCUUUGAACGCACAUUGCGCCCUUUGGUAUUCCGAAGGGCAUGCCUGUUCGAGCGUCAUUUUCACCCCUCAAGCCCCCGGCUUGGUGUUGGACGGUUUGGUCCCGGGACCCCCCUGGACCCCUCCCAAAGACAAUGACGGCGGGCUGUCGCACCCCCGGUACACUGAGCAUCUUCACGGAGCACGUACCGGUCUCCAGGGUCGACGGCACCCGGUCUCACACCUAUAUCUUUCAAGGUUGACCUCGGAUCAGGUAGGAAUACCCGCUGAACUUAAGCAUAUCAAUAAGCGGAGGAAAAGAAACCAACAGGGAUUGCCUCAGUAACGGCGAGUGAAGCGGCAACAGCUCAAAUUUGAAAUCUGGCCUCUUUGGGGUCCGAGUUGUAAUUUGUAGAGGAUGUUUCGGGUACCGCCUCGGUUUAAAUUUCUUGGAACAGAAUGUCAGAGAGGGUGAGAAUCCCGUCUUGGACCGGCGGUAGGGCCCAUGU